GCGAGAGUGGCGAAACUGGCAGACGCGCUGGAUUUAGGUUCCAGUGCCGCAAGGCGUGCGGGUUCGACUCCCGCCUCUCGCA
This 82-nucleotide transfer RNA is filed under the name Planctomycetaceae bacterium. RNAcentral describes it as "tRNA-Leu". It matches the Rfam family "tRNA". Rfam says of the family: Transfer RNA (tRNA) molecules are approximately 80 nucleotides in length. Their secondary structure includes four short double-helical elements and three loops (D, anti-codon, and T loops). RNAcentral also lists the same sequence under 3 other names. The record is from RNAcentral. Lineage: Bacteria; Pseudomonadati; Planctomycetota; Planctomycetia; Planctomycetales; Planctomycetaceae.